RNAcentral lists this ribosomal RNA (253 nucleotides) under uncultured bacterium. Its description in RNAcentral is "partial 16S ribosomal RNA". It matches the Rfam family "Bacterial small subunit ribosomal RNA", at positions 524 to 777 of the family's 1533-position model. The record is from RNAcentral.
UACGGGGGGGCAAGCGUUGUUCGGAAUUACUGGGCGUAAAGGGCGCGUAGGCGGCCUUCUAAGUCGAACGUGAAAUCCCUGGGCUCAACCCAGGAACUGCGUCCGAUACUGGAAGGCUUGAAUCCGGGAGAGGGAUGCGGAAUUCCAGGUGUAGCGGUGAAAUGCGUAGAUAUCUGGAGGAACACCGGUGGCGAAGGCGGCAUCCUGGACCGGUAUUGACGCUGAGGCGCGAAAGCGUGGGGAGCAAACAGGG